Cinara cedri is the source of this 372-nucleotide non-coding RNA. The record is from the annotation of a GenBank genome assembly. NCBI's taxonomy places the organism in Eukaryota, Metazoa, Arthropoda, Insecta, Hemiptera, Aphididae.
UAUGUUUUUUGUUUCUGGUCCCGUCCGGAUCGCGUACGAUACCGUCCGUCGAACGGCAAUCGUGCCUGUACACUAUCUAUAAUACGCGACCGUUGUUACGAGAAAAAAAAUAAAUUAAACGUAUUUUUUUCUUUUUGUUUUGUUUCUAUAGCUGGCGAGCGGACCCGUACGGCGACGGUACGAAAUCUCCGCUGCGGUUUAAAGGUCGUCACCGGACGAACAAUCCCGGUCCCCGCGGACGUUGCGAAAUCGCGUUUUUGGCACGGCGCAACCCAAGACCAUUUGGUGAGUAUUAAUUAUUGUUAUUAUUUUGUAAUUAUUUGUAUAAUAUUAUAUUAGUUUGGUAGCGAUAUGUAGAGACGACGUGUUAUU